GUUCAUUGUUCAUUUGUUCAUUGUUCACUGCCCACUGUUCACUGUUCACUGUCCAUUGUUCACUGCCCAUUUAUUUAUUUUUUUUUUCACAAAUUUCAAAUAUUAUCACUCUUCAGGCAUUUUUUUUUUUUUUUUUUUUUGUAUAUUCAAAAUGUACACAUGAAAAAAGUUUUUUAUGUUCAUACGCCCAUACAUACGUAAGUGUUUGCAUAUGCAUAUAUGAUAUCCACUUCAUAAUUAAUAAUGAAUAAAAAUGGGACGGAACUUGUGAUUGAAAAUUUUUGUGUUUAUUGCAAUUCAAACAACACAUUCUCAUAUCUUGAAAGUUCCCAGUACAAUGAUAAUAUUUUAAAAAGAAAACAAAUUAAAAAUGAAUACGAAAAAAAGGUUAGUGAAAAAACGGUAAAUUAUAAAUGGGUAAAAAAUUUGUCAAGUAAAGAAUGUUAUGAACGAAUUAUAAAAAACUUACAAAAAAGUAAUAACUUGAAGUGUACUCAAGACAGACGUCAUAAAGAUAAUAAUAAGUUUUGUUACGAUAAUAAGGACAAGUUAAAUAAAGACUGUUCCUACUUAUCAUCAAUUAACAUAAAUAAUGAAUCCUUUUUUGUGGGGGGGAUUAAUAAUAAUAAAUUUUUUAAAAACGAAAAAUAUAUAAAAGCUGCUUUAAAAAAAUGUGAAAAAAAACAAAAAAAAUAUAAACCUAAAAACUACUCAGAGUUUAUAAAAAAAAAUACGAAAAGCGGUAACGAUUACAAUUUAAAUGACGUACGUGUUCAGGAUGAAUUGGAAAGUUGUAAAUUAAUAAAAUUGGAAGAAAGUAAAGCGGAAACAAAUGGGGGCACAAAUGGGGGUACAGACGGAGGCACAAAUGGAGACGCCACGUAUAACAUAUACGAAUACCUAUUUAAUGCUUGUGUGCGGAAAAAAUAUUACAAAAGAAUAGGAAAAAUUUGGUUUGGCCGUUUUUUAAAAAAAAAUGGACCAUUACAUAAACAGAUAGCAAAACAUUUGAUAAAUUUGUUAAUCAUAAAAAGUUUUAUAAUUUUUGAUUUUGAGUUUUGGAAUUUCUUUUACUUUAAAAAUAUGACUAACCAUUUUAAUAGUAACUUACAUUUUUUUGUUGGUAAGGCAGGAAAUGAAAAAAGUAUUUUUUUAAAAGAUAUAUUUACAUCAUUUCCUUUUCAUUAUCCGAGUGAUAUUAUUCACGUUGUUGACAUUAUUGAGUACGAUAAACAUGACCUAAUAGUUAAUGAUUACAAAUAUAUUGUACACAACUCUUUUGCUAUUUUAAAUAAAAAAGAAAACGAUACAACGAACAAGGGGUUUUACUCCAUUUUUAAUUAUACAACUGUGGAUGACACAAAUGGAAAAAAUGCAAAAACAAUAAAAAAUAUAGACAAACCAAAUUUUUUAUUUAAAAUGUUUUACUUAACCAAAAUAAAAAAAAAGCUUUAUCAUUUAUUCAUGGCGAGAAUAAAUGAACUA
This 1485-nucleotide long non-coding RNA is filed under the name Piliocolobus tephrosceles (Ugandan red Colobus). Its description in RNAcentral is "lncRNA (ENSPTEG00000007743.1)". The record is from RNAcentral. Lineage: Eukaryota; Metazoa; Chordata; Mammalia; Primates; Cercopithecidae.